UACGUAGGGUGCUAGCGUUAUCCGGAUUUACUGGGCGUAAAGCGCACGCAGGCGGUCAAUUAAGUCAGAUGUGAAAGCCCCGAGCUUAACUUGGGAAUUGCAUCUGAAACUGGUUGGCUAGAGUCUUGUAGAGGGGGGUAGAAUUCCAUGUGUAGCGGUGAAAUGCGUAGAGAUGUGGAGGAAUACCGGUGGCGAAGGCGACUUACUGGUCUGUGAUUGACGCUGAGGCUCGAAAGCGUGGGUAGCAAACAGG
This 253-nucleotide ribosomal RNA is filed under the name uncultured bacterium. Its description in RNAcentral is "partial 16S ribosomal RNA". It matches the Rfam family "Bacterial small subunit ribosomal RNA", at positions 524 to 776 of the family's 1533-position model. The record is from RNAcentral.